Molecule: ribosomal RNA, 1372 nt
Filed under: uncultured bacterium
Lineage: Bacteria
Description: bacterial SSU rRNA
Rfam family: Bacterial small subunit ribosomal RNA
Source: RNAcentral
GAUGAACGCUGGCGGCGUGCCUAAUACAUGCAAGUCGAGCGAACGGACGAGAAGCUUGCUUCUCUGAUGUUAGCGGCGGACGGGUGAGUAACACGUGGAUAACCUACCUAUAAGACUGGGAUAACUUCGGGAAACCGGAGCUAAUACCGGAUAAUAUUUUGAACCGCAUGGUUCAAAAGUGAAAGACGGUCUUGCUGUCACUUAUAGAUGGAUCCGCGCUGCAUUAGCUAGUUGGUAAGGUAACGGCUUACCAAGGCAACGAUGCAUAGCCGACCUGAGAGGGUGAUCGGCCACACUGGAACUGAGACACGGUCCAGACUCCUACGGGAGGCAGCAGUAGGGAAUCCUCCGCAAUGGGCGAAAGCCUGACGGAGCAACGCCGCGUGAGUGAUGAAGGUCUUCGGAUCGUAAAACUCUGUUAUUAGGGAAGAACAUAUGUGUAAGUAACUGUGCACAUCUUGACGGUACCUAAUCAGAAAGCCACGGCUAACUACGUGCCAGCAGCCGCGGUAAUACGUAGGUGGCAAGCGUUAUCCGGAAUUAUUGGGCGUAAAGCGCGCGUAGGCGGUUUUUUAAGUCUGAUGUGAAAGCCCACGGCUCAACCGUGGAGGGUCAUUGGAAACUGGAAAACUUGAGUGCAGAAGAGGAAAGUGGAAUUCCAUGUGUAGCGGUGAAAUGCGCAGAGAUAUGGAGGAACACCAGUGGCGAAGGCGACUUUCUGGUCUGUAACUGACGCUGAUGUGCGAAAGCGUGGGGAUCAAACAGGAUUAGAUACCCUGGUAGUCCACGCCGUAAACGAUGAGUGCUAAGUGUUAGGGGGUUUCCGCCCCUUAGUGCUGCAGCUAACGCAUUAAGCACUCCGCCUGGGGAGUACGACCGCAAGGUUGAAACUCAAAGGAAUUGACGGGGACCCGCACAAGCGGUGGAGCAUGUGGUUUAAUUCGAAGCAACGCGAAGAACCUUACCAAAUCUUGACAUCCUUUGACAACUCUAGAGAUAGAGCCUUCCCCUUCGGGGGGCAAAGUGACAGGUGGUGCAUGGUUGUCGUCAGCUCGUGUCGUGAGAUGUUGGGUUAAGUCCCGCAACGAGCGCAACACUUAAGCUUAGUUGCCAUCAUUAAGUUGGGCACUCUAAGUUGACUGCCGGUGACAAACCGGAGGAAGGUGGGGAUGACGUCAAAUCAUCAUGCCCCUUAUGAUUUGGGCUACACACGUGCUACAAUGGACAAUACAAAGGGCAGCGAAACCGCGAGGUCAAGCAAAUCCCAUAAAGUUGUUCUCAGUUCGGAUUGUAGUCUGCAACUCGACUACAUGAAGCUGGAAUCGCUAGUAAUCGUAGAUCAGCAUGCUACGGUGAAUACGUUCCCGGGUCU